Molecule: ribosomal RNA, 497 nt
Filed under: uncultured bacterium
Lineage: Bacteria
Description: partial 16S ribosomal RNA
Rfam family: Bacterial small subunit ribosomal RNA
Source: RNAcentral
GAUGAACGCUGGCGGCGUGCCUAAUACAUGCAAGUCGAGCGAACAGACGAGGAGCUUGCUCCUCUGACGUUAGCGGCGGACGGGUGAGUAACACGUGGAUAACCUACCUAUAAGACUGGGAUAACUUCGGGAAACCGGAGCUAAUACCGGAUAAUAUAUUGAACCGCAUGGUUCAAUAGUGAAAGACGGUUUUGCUGUCACUUAUAGAUGGAUCCGCGCCGCAUUAGCUAGUUGGUAAGGUAACGGCUUACCAAGGCAACGAUGCGUAGCCGACCUGAGAGGGUGAUCGGCCACACUGGAACUGAGGCACGGUCCAGACUCCUACGGGAGGCAGCAGUAGGGAAUCUUCCGCAAUGGGCGGAAGCCUGACGGAGCAACGCCGCGUGAGUGAUGAAGGUCUUCGGAUCGUAAAACUCUGUUAUUAGGGAAGAACAAAUGUGUAAGUAACUAUGCACGUCUUGACGGUACCUAAUCAGAAAGCCACGGCUAACUACGUG